UCUUCCCUUGCCGUGGCUUCUCCUCUCUUAAACCCCAUCUUCAUAAAUUUUUCCUUUCCACCAUUUUCAUUAAAGAUCAAGCUUGCUUUCCAUUAGUUCUUUGCUAGCUUAUUUCCUUCUUGAGGAAACGAGUAACGGUGUUUAAUUGCGCGUUCGAUUGUGUGAUUGGAAACUUUUGCCGAGAUGACAUUCAUGAGCGUGGUGCCGUCGGCCACGAGGAUGAGAUUGAUUUGGAGCGCUUUUAGGAUUGUGGUGUUUGUGAUGAGACGUUCUCCACCACGUCCAUAUGAUCAGACCUAGAGUCUUAGUUCAUUUUGCUUACGUAUCUAGUUUAUUUUGAGAUGUAGUACUUUGACAGACUAUUAUACUUAUGGUGCCUUAGUGGCCUUGCGAUACA
This is a long non-coding RNA of Trifolium pratense (red clover), 397 nucleotides long. RefSeq lists it as uncharacterized. The transcript is spliced from 3 exons. NCBI's taxonomy places the organism in Eukaryota, Viridiplantae, Streptophyta, Magnoliopsida, Fabales, Fabaceae. The record is from RefSeq and is a predicted model, not a curated record.